UUCCUGGUGGUCUAGCGGCUAAGGAGCCAGCACUCUCACUGCUGGGGCCUGGUUUGAUUCCCGGACAGGAAA
Non-coding RNA from Ameiurus melas (black bullhead), 72 nucleotides. The record is from the annotation of a GenBank genome assembly. NCBI's taxonomy places the organism in Eukaryota, Metazoa, Chordata, Actinopteri, Siluriformes, Ictaluridae.